This 256-nucleotide ribosomal RNA is filed under the name uncultured bacterium. RNAcentral's name for it is "partial 16S ribosomal RNA". It matches the Rfam family "Bacterial small subunit ribosomal RNA", at positions 521 to 776 of the family's 1533-position model. The record is from RNAcentral.
UAAUACGUAGGGUGCAAGCGUUAAUCGGAAUUACUGGGCGUAAAGCGUGCGCAGGCGGAUAUGUAAGUUAGGAGUGAAAUCCCCGGGCUCAACCUGGGAAUGGCUUUUAAGACUGCGUAUCUAGAGUUUGUCAGAGGGGGGUGGAAUUCCAAGUGUAGCAGUGAAAUGCGUAGAGAUUUGGAGGAACACCAAUGGCGAAGGCAACCCCCUGGGAUAAAACUGACGCUCAUGCACGAAAGCGUGGGUAGCAAACAGG